UGACCUCAAAUCAGGUAGACUACCCCAGUUCCU
Molecule: ribosomal RNA, 33 nt
Filed under: Agaricus brunneolus
Lineage: Eukaryota; Fungi; Basidiomycota; Agaricomycetes; Agaricales; Agaricaceae
Description: partial 28S ribosomal RNA
Source: RNAcentral